ACAGGACGGAAAGACCCCGUGGAGCUUUACUGCAACCUGAUAUGGAAUGUUUGUACCGCUUGUACAGGAUAGGUAGGAGCCGAAGAGACGUGUGCGCUAGCAUACGAGGAGGCAAUGGUGGGAUACUACCCUGGCUGUAUGACCAUUCUAACCCGCCACGCUUAGCGCGUGGGGAGACAGUGUCAGGUGGGCAGUUUGACUGGGGCGGUCGCCUCCUAAAGAGUAACGGAGGCGCCCAAAGGUUCCCUCAGAAUGGAUGGAAAUCAUUCGCAGAGUGUAAAGGCACAAGGGAGCUUGACUGCGAGACUGACAAGUCGAGCAGGGACGAAAGUCGGGCUUAGUGAUCCGGUGGUUCCGCAUGGAAGGGCCA
RNAcentral lists this ribosomal RNA (370 nucleotides) under Listeria monocytogenes. Its description in RNAcentral is "bacterial LSU rRNA". It matches the Rfam family "Bacterial large subunit ribosomal RNA", at positions 2076 to 2444 of the family's 2925-position model. Lineage: Bacteria; Bacillati; Bacillota; Bacilli; Caryophanales; Listeriaceae. The record is from RNAcentral.